This is a long non-coding RNA of Struthio camelus australis, 1417 nucleotides long. The record is from Ensembl. NCBI's taxonomy places the organism in Eukaryota, Metazoa, Chordata, Aves, Struthioniformes, Struthionidae.
GAGCUCAAGUGACUCCACUGAAACUCUGGCAUUUAUCACAGACAAAAUUAGGUCAGAAGAGAGCACAGAGGUACUGAACUGAAAAGAGAUAAAUUCAUCUUUAGAAGAAAAAAAAAAAGUAUCAAGCUGAAAACUUGCAUUUAAUUUGUCUCCUCUGUGUAAGGUAAGAGUUUUCCUAAGGGACUUUCCAGGCGAGUUAACGGUAUCUCUGAUGUAACCAUAUUACCAAUUUUUAUAGGAGGAAUAUUGAAGAUAUGUUGUUGAGCUAUGUGACUUCGAGUAGUUAAAGAAGAGAGCAGUUUUUUCUUAAAUGUAAACAAAAGCAGGCUGGGUAAAAAUCUGUACCAGUUUGGAUAAUGUCCAAUCUUGCAAGCUGCUGAGCAUGUUCAGGUAACAGCGACAGUGGCAGUUAUUAUUUGUUAUCAUUAUUUUGCAGGACCAUAGUACUUGUGUUUUGAUCACAACAAGUAUGAGGUUAAAGCUGAUACAUAAAAACCUGACUAUACGUAUGACUGUCUGCCAGUGUGAUAUUUUCUCAUGUGAAAAAGUAUGACUUUCUAAUUGACAAUUAAGGAAACAAACAUUAGUGUCUUUGCUAUAGAACGCAUUCCUGGAUUGUGCAUACUGUAUUAGUUUAGAUAAGGUUUUGAAUUUUUCACUGCGCUUCCUUGAAUACAUACAUAACACACAAAUAGCACAGCACACCAUAGCACGGUCUUAGAAAAUAGCCUCCUGAAAAAAAGAUGCCUCUGGUUUUACCAAAAGAUCGUUCAGAAUCCAUUGGUGUGUUUGCCAUUUGCUCUUCAUCUCAUGUAAAUUUGAUAUUACAUUGAUCCGUUCUGCAGGGAUCCUUCUCUUCUAAAAGCUUCUGUAAGCAAUUAAUUCUCCUGUGGAAUUCACUGAACUGCCUAAAGCAGUGACACUGUUGCCCCUAACAGUAAAAUGGAGCUGGAGCAUCCCUGAAGAGCCAGAUUAGCUUAUCUGGAUGUUAUCUAGAAGAAAGGAGACUCGUUCCAGGCCCCGCCAGGGUGACUGUUUUUACAUUAGAUUAUCGUCUAAAAAGUGGAAAUAUAACGGAGCUGAGAUAAGGAACCAUCUGAUCUUCUGCCCCUGCGUGAGAAUUGCGAGAGGCCACAUCAUCACAUUCCCUCUUGCUUGCAUUCCUUCUGGGUCCACUGACCUUGCUCGAUCUGUCAAUCGCACAAAUGCACAGCUGCAGUGGCUUCCUGGCUGGAUUAUGUCUCCUGUACCAUACCACCAUCUUCACACAAUUCCCAUGGUGUGUUGUGGUGCCAGAAGGAAGGCUGCAGAGGUGACCAGCCCUUUUCCUAAAAUCUGCCUGUGGGUGACAAGCCUGAGCCUGGCAAUCACUGUUCCACCAUCAAAACAUUUGGGAUUACAGGAGCUACUAAAAUGA